This is a long non-coding RNA of Salvelinus namaycush (lake trout), 4577 nucleotides long. RefSeq lists it as uncharacterized. The record is from RefSeq and is a predicted model, not a curated record. Lineage: Eukaryota; Metazoa; Chordata; Actinopteri; Salmoniformes; Salmonidae. The transcript is spliced from 2 exons.
CCCUGAACAAGGCAGUUAACCCACUGUUCCUAGGCCGUCAUUGUAAAUAAGAAUGUCUUCUUAACUGACUUUUGCCUAGUAAAAUAAAAAAUAAAUUGGGAAGAGCGACGUACCAUUUACACUUAUACUGUUCCCCUUUAUCAGCUGACAUCGCCAUAGUAACUGAGAACACAUCCUGCCUAAAGCCAGAUGUGAUCGUCACCAAAGUCGUCAGGUACAGAUGAAUGUUUAUAACUACAUGAUUCCUCUUUAGACACGCCCCUAGUAAAGACAGCAUUUCAUUGCUGUUACUACUAGUUCUAGCCUGCUUCUCAGCAGAGAGAGAGAGACCUGUUUGAGGCCAGACUCUCUCUCUCUCUCUCUCUCUGUGUGUGUGUGGUAGCUAGAUGGAAAGACAUGGGAUAUUUUCUCUACUCCAGUAGUCUGACAAGGUAUUUAUCAUAAGUGGGUACAGAACAUUCUGCUCUUGCAGAAUGAAACACAUUCUUCAUCAGUCUCAGGCUACCAAUAUUGUACCUUUUUGCUUUUUAGCACCAUUAAGCUUUGAAAUUACCCACAAGAGAACAAAACGUCUGGGAAGAGGUCUCUACCGCCAUAUCUCUAAAUGAGGACCUGCUCACAAGAGAACAAGAGGUCUGGGAAGAGGUCUCUACCACCAUAUCUCUUAAUGAGGACCUGCUCACAAGAGAACAAGAGGUCUGUGAAGAGGUCUCUACCACCAUAUCUCUUAAUGAGGACCUGCUCACAAGACGUCUGGGAAGAGGUCUCUACCGCCAUAUCUCUUAAUGAGGACCUGCUAAGAAGAGGUCUGGGAAGAGGUCUCUACCUCCAUAUCUCUUAAUGAGGACCUGCUCACAAGAGGUCUGGGAAGAGAUCUCUACCUACAUAUCUCUUAAUGAGGACCUGCUAAGAAGAGGUCUGGGAAGAGGUCUCUACCGCCAUAUCUCUUAAUGAGGACCUGCUAACAAGAGGUCUGGGAAGAGGUCUCUACCUACAUAUCUCUUAAUGAGGACCUGCUAAGAAGAGGUCUGGGAAGAGGUCUCUACCGCCAUAUCUCUUAAUGAGGACCUGCUAACAAGAGGUCUGGGAAGAGAUCUCUACCUACAUAUCUCUUAAUGAGAACCUGCUCACAAGAGAACAAGAGGUCUGGGAAGAGGUCUCUACCUCCAUAUCUCUUAAUGAGGACCUGCUCACAAGAGGUCUGGGAAGAGGUCUCUACCUACAUAUCUCUUAAUGAGAACCUGCUCACAAGAGAACAAGAGGUCUGGGAAGAGGUCUCUACCUCCAUAUCUCUUAAUGAGGACCUGCUCACAAGAGGUCUGGGAAGAGAUCUCUACCUACAUAUCUCUUAAUGAGAACCUGCUCACAAGAGAACAAGAGGUCUGGGAAGAGGUCUCUACCUCCAUAUCUCUUAAUGAGGACCUGCUCACAAGAGGUCUGGGAAGAGGUCUCUAACUACAUAUCUCUUAAUGAGGACCUGCUCACAAGAGGUCUGGGAAGAGAUCUCUACCUACAUAUCUCUUAAUGAGAACCUGCUCACAAGAGAACAAGAGGUCUGGGAAGAGGUCUCUACCUCCAUAUCUCUUAAUGAGGACCUGCUCACAAGAGGUCUGGGAAGAGGUCUCUACCUACAUAUCUCUUAAUGACGACCUGCGUUGCUUUUAUAACCACAGCGGGAGGGUUGUCCUGCAUCUUUGUGAGGAUUUGGUUUCCUAUGGUUACCAUGGCAGCAAGACACUCUGUUACCUCAUGCUCCGUUAUGAUGUCAGCAGGUGACUGUGGUCCAAAAUGACACCCUAGUUUCUGUAGUCCACAAGCUCUGUUCCAAUGUAAUGCACUUUAAAAUGUAAGUAGGGUGCCAUUUCAGAUAUAUACAAUACACUGAACUGUGUUCAUAAUGUCCAGUACAGUAGACUGUGUUCAUAAUGUCCAGUACAGUAGACUGUGUUCAUAAUGUCCAGUACAGUAGACUGUGUUCAUAAUGUCCAAUACACUGAACUGUGUUCAUAAUGUCCAACACAGUAGACUGUGUUCAUAAUGUCCACUACAGUAGACUGUGUUCAUAAUGUCCAAUACAGUAGACUGUGUUCAUGUGUUCAUAAUGUCCAAUACAGUAGACUGUGUUCAUAAUGUCCAGUACAGUAGACUGUGUUCAUAAUGUCCAGUACAGUAGACUGUGUUCAUAAUGUCCAGUACAGUAGACUGUGUUCAUAAUGUCCAGUACAGUAGACUGUGUUCAUAAUGUCCAGUACAGUAGACUGUGUUCAUAAUGUCCACUACAGUAGACUGUGUUCAUAAUGUCCAAUACAGUAGACUGUGUUCAUGUGUUCAUAAUGUCCAAUACAGUAGACUGUGUUCAUAAUGUCCAGUACAGUAGACUGUGUUCAUAAUGUCCAAUACAGUAGACUGUGUUCAUAAUGUCCAGUACAGUAGACUGUGUUCAUAAUGUCCAAUACAGUAGACUGUGUUCAUGUGUUCAUAAUGUCCAAUACAGUAGACUGUGUUCAUAAUGUCCAGUACAGUAGACUGUGUUCAUAAUGUCCAGUACAGUAGACUGUGUUCAUAAUGUCCACUACAGUAGACUGUGUUCAUAAUGUCCACUACAGUAGACUGUGUUCAUGUGUUCAUAAUGUCCAAUACAGUAGACUGUGUUCAUAAUGUCCAAUACAGUAGACUGUGUUCAUAAUGUCCAGUACAGUAGACUGUGUUCAUAAUGUCCAGUACAGUAGACUGUGUUCAUGUGUUCAUAAUGUCCACUACAGUAGACUGUGUUCAUGUGUUCAUAAUGUCCAAUACAGUAGACUGUGUUCAUGUGUUCAUAAUGUCCAAUACAGUAGACUGUGUUCAUAAUGUCCAAUACAGUAGACUGUGUUCAUAAUGUCCAGUACAGUAGACUGUGUUCAUAAUGUCCAAUACAGUAGACUGUGUUCAUAAUGUCCAGUACAGUAGACUGUGUUCAUAAUGUCCACUACAGUAGACUGUGUUCAUAAUGUCCAGUACAGUAGACUGUGUUCAUAAUGUCCAAUACAGUAGACUGUGUUCAUAAUGUCCAGUACAGUAGACUGUGUUCAUAAUGUCCACUACAGUAGACUGUGUUCAUGUGUUCAUAAUGUCCAAUACAGUAGACUGUGUUCAUGUGUUCAUAAUGUCCAAUACAGUAGACUGUGUUCAUAAUGUCCAAUACAGUAGACUGUGUUCAUAAUGUCCAGUACAGUAGACUGUGUUCAUAAUGUCCAGUACAGUAGACUGUGUUCAUAAUGUCCAGUACAGUAGACUGUGUUCAUAAUGUCCAGUACAGUAGACUGUGUUCAUAAUGUCCAGUACAGUAGACUGUGUUCAUAAUGUCCAGUACAGUAGACUGUGUUCAUAAUGUCCAGUACAGUAGACUGUGUUCAUAAUGUCCAGUACAGUAGACUGUGUUCAUAAUGUCCAGUACAGUAGACUGUGUUCAUAAUGUCCACUACAGUAGACUGUGUUCAUAAUGUCCAGUACAGUAGACUGUGUUCAUAAUGUCCAGUACAGUAGACUGUGUUCAUAAUGUCCACUACAUCACUGUGUUCAUAUCUGUCAACGAGGGCCUCUGAAGUCCAUACGAACGGUCACAUGAUAAUUCCUCUAAGCUCUAUUCGAGGAAUCCUGUAGGAAUGUUACAGUCCUCCACCUUGUUAGUUUUGGUUGUCUUGAUCCUUGUUUGAUCACACAAGAUGUAGAAACACUGCUGCAGGCAGAAAUAUGUGGCUGGAAGUUUCCAUUCGAAGCAGAAAUAUGUCUCCUACUGUACUGUUAAGUGUCGUCUCUGAGACCAAGUAGUCUACGGGCUAAGCUAACAUAGUAUCUAGUAUCAAUAUGGGGAAUACACAGUAUAUCUGAGGUGAUUGUUAUUGAAUGGUACAUUAUCCACUAGCAUUACCACCCGCCCUCUUUAGAGUGGUAGAAUGAUAUCCAAUCAGGGCUGAAACUCUGAUUAAUUGAUUAGUUGAUCACCCUGUGUGUCUCUGUACUGCCCUGUAACCAUACCAACAGAACCUGCCUUCUAAAAGGGGGAACGUGGUGUUUAAGCUCAUCGUUAGUUUGCUGUAAAGAGUAGUGUCACGGUAACGCUGUUUGUGUUCGCCUGAUGUCAUCACACCGGUGGCUUUACCUGUCCCUGCUUUUGGAAAAAAUGAACCCUCUUUAGAGUCUAAAUGAGGUCUUCUGUAAUAUUGACCAAUAUUUGUCCCAGUAUGUAUAUACCACAGCUAUGCUGCCAUGGAACCAUAAUGUGUAUACAACGUCUCAAUGAAACUCAGUCACUAUGUUGAGGUGUCCCAGCUGUACAGUUCCCUGCAAACAUUCAUGUCCAGAAUGACAGACAUGUACAGUUAUUCCUGGUCUGAUGUGUCUCUCUGCUUACAUCUACCUUUUUGUAGGAGGUUCUUUUUUACUCCCUAGAUGAUUAUUUUGUGAUGACUAUGUCCUAUGCAAAUAUGAAAAAAAUUAACAGGAUUAAUACGAUAUAAUGUUAUGUUGUCUUAACUUGUAUGCAUGGAUUUGUGAAGUUUACAUUUGGUAAAUUAAAUUCAUAAAUUAGCAUUUUU